This 604-nucleotide long non-coding RNA is filed under the name Selaginella moellendorffii. Its description in RNAcentral is "long non-coding RNA (SMOE_LNC000019)". The record is from RNAcentral. Lineage: Eukaryota; Viridiplantae; Streptophyta; Lycopodiopsida; Selaginellales; Selaginellaceae.
AAUAUCAAAUCCGCUACUAUUUGAAUGGCCGGCCAUAUGAGUCAAAGUUCACAUCAAAGUUCAAAGACCAGCGAACCUAAAUGAAGCGAUUACUCAUGCUGUGACAUGGGAGCAAGCUCGACUUGGAGCGGCAGCCAGGCAACAGAUCACAGUUCCUGUUUACUCCAGUGGCUAUCUCCCUGGAGUACCACCACAACCAGCGUUAAUCCCAGCUACAAGUCCUGGAUUUCAGCCAACCAUGAAUACCUACAAGCUUUGAGAACCAGUUAGCAAAAGUCAAAGAGGACAUGGUGGAAACACUUACAAAGAAGAUGGCUGAUUUACAAGUGAAUCUGGUUCAGGGCAUGGGAGCUUCAGUGAAGCGGAUCAACGAGAGAACAGGUGUUUGGUGUAUUACAUGUGGCAAUCAAGGCCACUAUCCGAUUGAAUGCCCAGCUAAGCUUCCACGACCUGCAAAGCCAAAGUGUCAAUAUUGCGGGAAGAGUGGAGAUACACUAGAGAAUUGCUAUUCAAAUCCUACUCGAGUUUCAACACAGCAGCUCCAAGUUUCCCAACAGAUCCCUGUGAUGCCAAGUUACCUGGUUCAGUCGCAGAUGUCUCAAGG